This 362-nucleotide ribosomal RNA is filed under the name uncultured Gardnerella sp. RNAcentral's name for it is "bacterial SSU rRNA". It matches the Rfam family "Bacterial small subunit ribosomal RNA", at positions 152 to 525 of the family's 1533-position model. Lineage: Bacteria; Bacillati; Actinomycetota; Actinomycetes; Bifidobacteriales; Bifidobacteriaceae. The record is from RNAcentral.
GGAAACGGGUGGUAAUGCUGGAUGCUCCAACUUGACGCAUGUCUUGUUGGGAAAGUGUUUAGUGGCAUGGGAUGGGGUCGCGUCCUAUCAGCUUGUAGGCGGGGUAAUGGCCCACCUAGGCUUCGACGGGUAGCCGGCCUGAGAGGGCGGACGGCCACAUUGGGACUGAGAUACGGCCCAGACUCCUACGGGGAGGCAGCAGUGGGGAAUAUUGCGCAAUGGGGGAAACCCUGACGCAGCGACGCCGCGUGCGGGAUGAAGGCCUUCGGGUUGUAAACCGCUUUUGAUUGGGAGCAAGCUUUCGGGUGAGUGUACCUUUCGAAUAAGCGCCGGCUAACUACGUGCCAGCAGCCGCGGUAAAU